Molecule: ribosomal RNA, 465 nt
Filed under: Capnocytophaga granulosa
Lineage: Bacteria; Pseudomonadati; Bacteroidota; Flavobacteriia; Flavobacteriales; Flavobacteriaceae
Description: bacterial SSU rRNA
Rfam family: Bacterial small subunit ribosomal RNA
Source: RNAcentral
GAUGAACGCUAGCGGCAGGCCUAACACAUGCAAGUCGAGGGAGAAGCCCUUCGGGGCAGAAACCGGCGCACGGGUGCGUAACGCGUAUGCAACCUACCUUUCACAGGGGGAUAGCCCGAGGAAAUUUGGAUUAAUACCCCAUAAUAUUAUUGGGUGGCAUCAUUUGAUAAUUAAAAUUACGAUGGUGAAAGAUGGGCAUGCGUCCUAUUAGCUAGUUGGAGUGGUAACGGCACCCCAAGGCUACGAUAGGUAGGGGUCCUGAGAGGGAGAUCCCCCACACUGGUACUGAGACAGGGACCAGACUCCUACGGGAGGCAGCAGUGAGGAAUAUUGGUCAAUGGUCGGAAGACUGAACCAGCCAUGCCGCGUGCAGGAAGAAUGCCUUAUGGGUUGUAAACUGCUUUUAUAUGGGAAGAAUAAGGAGUACGUGUACUUUGAUGACGGUACCAUAUGAAUAAGCAUCGG